RNAcentral lists this ribosomal RNA (308 nucleotides) under uncultured bacterium. Its description in RNAcentral is "bacterial SSU rRNA". It matches the Rfam family "Bacterial small subunit ribosomal RNA", at positions 1088 to 1397 of the family's 1533-position model. The record is from RNAcentral.
CGCACGAGCGCACCCCUGUCUUUAGUUGCCAUCAGGUAAUGCUGAGCACUCUAAAGAGACCGCUGGUGACGAGCCAGAGGAAGGUGGGGAUGACGUCAAGUCCGCAUGGCCCUUAUGCCCUGGGCUGCACACGUGCUACAAUGGUCGGUACAGAGGGACGCCAAACCGUGAGGUGGAGCAAAUCCCAAAAAGCCGACCCCAGUUCGGAUUGCAGUCUGCAACUCGACUGCAUGAAGUUGGAAUCGCUAGUAAUCGCGAAUCAGCAGGUCGCGGUGAAUACGUUCCCGGCCCUUGNACACACCGCCCGU